GAUGAAGAACGCAGCGAAAUGCGAUACUUGGUGUGAAUUGCAGAAUCCCGUGAACCAUCGAGUCUUUGAACGCAAGUUGCGCCUCAAGCCAUUAGGUUGAGGGCACGUCUGCCUGGGCGUCACAUAUCGUUGCCUGAUGCCAGUUUCCUCGUGAUGGGUGACUGUGCAGGGCGAAUGAUGGCUUCCCGUGAGCAUUGUUGCCUCAUGGUUGGUUGAAAAUUGAGUCCUUGGUAGGGAGCGCCGUGAUAGAUGGUGGUUGAGUGACGAACGAGACCCAAUCAUGUGAGACCCCUACCGAGUUUGGCCUUCAUGACCCACAUGCGUCUUUGGAACGCUCAUGACGAGACCUCAGGUCAGGCGGGGCUACCCGCUGAGUUUAAGCAUAUCAAUAAGCGGAGGA
This 400-nucleotide unclassified non-coding RNA is filed under the name soil metagenome. Its description in RNAcentral is "partial contains 5.8S ribosomal RNA, internal transcribed spacer 2, and large subunit ribosomal RNA". The stretch from base 1 to 122 matches the Rfam family "5.8S ribosomal RNA", at positions 35 to 154 of the family's 154-position model. The record is from RNAcentral.